AACGAACGCUGGCGGCAGGCCUAACACAUGCAAGUCGAGCGAUCCCUUCGGGGAUAGCGGCGGACGGGUGAGUAACGCGUGGGAACGUACCCUUUGCUACGGAAUAGCCUCGGGAAACUGGGAGUAAUACCGUAUGUGCCCUUCGGGGGAAGAUUUAUCGGCAAAGGAUCGGCCCGCGUUGGAUUAGGUAGUUGGUGGGGUAAUGGCCUACCAAGCCUACGAUCCAUAGCUGGUUUGAGAGGAUGAUCAGCCACACUGGGACUGAGACACGGCCCAGACUCCUACGGGAGGCAGCAGUGGGGAAUCUUAGACAAUGGGGGCAACCCUGAUCUAGCCAUGCCGCGUGAGUGAUGAAGGCCUUAGGGUUGUAAAGCUCUUUCAGCUGGGAAGAUAAUGACGGUACCAGCAGAAGAAGCCCCGGCUAACUCCGUG
RNAcentral lists this ribosomal RNA (432 nucleotides) under uncultured bacterium. Its description in RNAcentral is "bacterial SSU rRNA". It matches the Rfam family "Bacterial small subunit ribosomal RNA", at positions 29 to 507 of the family's 1533-position model. The record is from RNAcentral.